Long non-coding RNA from Fundulus heteroclitus (mummichog), 716 nucleotides. RefSeq lists it as uncharacterized. The record is from RefSeq and is a predicted model, not a curated record. The transcript is spliced from 3 exons. Lineage: Eukaryota; Metazoa; Chordata; Actinopteri; Cyprinodontiformes; Fundulidae.
CUUCUAUUGAACUAUUUACUGACCAUCAAUAUACGUCUGUCGAUCGAUAAAUAUCGUUAUUGAAUUGUCGUCCAGCCCUAAUCACAAGCAACCGGCAAGUGUAACCCUUGGUGCAAUGAGGUGCUUUUCUGUGCAUCAAAGACUGCAAUAUUCAGCGGCAACUUGAUGGAGCAACUAGAAAUGAAAGGUCAUUUGCCGAAGUAGUGGAAACGACGCCAAACUAUGGACUUCUCCGCACAUUGUAGCCACAAUCUUGCCGUUGGAGGACAUCUGCAAAGGAGCUGUUGACACAAACGACUCUUCUUCAUCCAUUCUUCAGCUUCAAAGCUGGCUAAUCCGAGUGCCCCAAUGCCCCUAGAAGCUCCUUCAACAGACCAGCCAGCAACUCCAUUCAGAUGAGCAGUGUGUGGGGAAAAAACCGGGUGACAUGACUGACAUGGGCAACGAUGAAGAAGAGAUGUGAGCAGCACAACUUCUGAAUGAACACCUUUUUUUGAAAGUAGAAAAAAAUCCUGCCUGGUUGGUGUUUUUAAAAACUAAACUGUUGUCAUCUUAGUCAACUAAGCAAUCCUUUCUCAUACCCUCUCUACACAUUCUAAAUAUUAGAAUGACAUGUAAAGUUUUUAGUAAAGUAUUUUUGUUCUAAAAAGUAAAAUUCAUAGAUUAACGCUGGAGUGAAAUAUUUCAAGCCAUUAUUUGUUGUAAUUUUGAUGAUG